GACUUCCAUCCCACGCGGAGGAAAGAGCGAUCCAUUUUGCGCAUGCGUAACUUGAUUUCUACUGCUUUUGAGGUGCUUCGCAAUGCGGCACAUAAUACAGCAUGGAAACAUCUCAAGUCUCUGUAGAUUGGAAGACAUAAUUCACUGUCACCUUGCAUGCAUAAGGAGUCAACCCAGGCAGGGAUGCAGAUGUCACAUAUCUUCAUUGUAAGCUCUAAUCCCAAGAAAAUCCCUUUUUGGAGAAGAGGGUGUUAGUAAUGCAUCUCUUCUGAUCCACAUUCCAAGGAAAAUGUCAGCGUUUGAUGGUAACAAAAGCAGCCAUCUCUGAAACUUUUCCUGGAAGCAGAAUUCCAUGUACACCUGCUGGGAAUGGGACAGACACCUGGAUCUUAGGUAUAAAGUGUUCCGGUUUAAAGAAACAGCACGGUGAAUAUGAGUUUGGAACGGAUAAGACCAGACAUGUACGUGGAAGGCAAAAUCACGAAACUGUGUUUCACUUAUUUUGGCCAUGUCAUGGGGAAUUCACUGGAGAAAGUAGUUGUCAAUGUUGUGACAACUAGCUAUAUUUGAAAGAAUUAGAGGUAAAAGGAAAUCAGACCACCAAAAAGCAUCGGCUGGAUACCAUCAAGGCCGACACUAGCCAGAACAUAAAAAAAACUCCAGGAAGCAGCACAGGAUUGGAUGAGGUGAAGAGACCUGGCCCAUAGAAUUGCCAAGAAUCAGUGAAUGGAUUGAAUGGAUAACAUCAUUAUCAACAGAUCUAUAAGCUUUUAAACAACCUGCAUCUACUGCAAACCUAUGCAAACAGACCAGCAACCACCCCACUGUGUCCAGAUCCUCUUCAGAAGGGCCAGGAGAAAUGGCUACUUGAUGUCUUUCUCUGCUAUCCAAAAAACUUCAAAUUCUGAUACACAGCACCCAAACCACACCACACACCCAACCGCCGUGCAAAAACUAGCUUUACCAUACACACAUGGGGUGUUGGAAAUGACAGCCAGAAUUCUCCAACCCGUAGGAAUAGGAAUAGUCCACAAACCCACAGCCAUAUAACACCAGGAUUUAUCCAGAACCAAAGACAAGACACAGAAGGGUGAAAGAAACAAUGUAAUCUAUAAAGUCAACUAUAACGUGAGACAAACAGCACAUCAAUUAAAAAACGUUCCACAAACACCACCAAUUUGAUUGGAGCGUCACUAAAAUCAUCAACCACGCUACCACUGCCAUGCUCGUGUUCAUUGAAGCCUGGCACUCCACAAGCAGUUCCCUCAGACACAUUGACCUACAAUCAGUCUACAAACCCCUCAGAAUUCAAAUUAAUCGCACGGCCAACUAGAAUCAGCACUGACCCUCAACCAACCCAUGUAAGUCCCCCUCCCCCUCAGUUUACCUGACCUGAUGUAACCUCCCCAUCACAAGCCUGUGAUGACUCACACCUGACCCAUCACAAGACCUUCACUUGACACAUCCACAUCUGAAGCCUUUAUAAACAGAAGAGCACUGACACAUAUGCCCUAAAUGUCACUGGAGAUGUUACCUGGCCUGGGAACUAAGCAUUUGGAAACCAACCCACAAGCUCGGAGAACCAACCUUUACCCUCAGGUUUUAAUAUGUUUAUUAAAAAGUUUGGGGGAAGGUUUUAAUAAAAUUUUAUUUACAUUGACAGGUAUAAUCAGUAUAUAGCAGGACACAUUUCAGCCAUAUUUGUUGGUUUUAAAACGGCUGACUUUUUCUCUGUUGAAGAAAGAAUGUUUCAAGACUUUUAAGCUAGCUGGAGGCCAUUAAAUAAUUAUACAGAAGACCCCUCUUGUCCUGUAGUUUGUUACCAAUCAGGUCCAUCAAGGAAGCACUCAAGCUUUAUUGUCACUGCCUCUUCAUGUUCUCAGAUAAUUAGGAUUCAAGAGGUGUGCUACCCCUGAUCUGGAGAUGAGGUAGCCAUAUGCAUUAAUGUGGCAUCCCAUUGUUUAGUGUUUUACAUAAUUGUAUGAGAUGUCCAUUCUUUCAAUAAUUACUCAAUUUUUGUCAUCCAUGUUAAGUGUACAUAACAGGCAGAAAUAGUCUGGACCCUAUUUUGCAAUGGAAUUCUGGAGCAUACUGGGCAUUAGCUAUGUUGAUGUUACCAUUUACUCUACAGUGCAGCCUUCCAUAAAAGGAUUGCCCCUGGAUGUGUUUGCUAUUCUAGCUAAGCUGAAGGCUCAGUCUCUAACGCCUGAGUGUUUCCAGGCCAAGCUUAUCAUGAAAACGCUCGUACUUGUAAUGAGGACAGUGGCUGUGGUAUUCUCUGCUGGCUUGAAAAUGCUCAUUGCUUGCUUCCUUGUAUCUCAGCAGAACUCACAGAAAACAGCUAAUGGACAGGAUUGAAUGUCUUUUCUGAGUAGGGUCUGUUCAUUCCUUUUACAAUAAUGAGCAGAAAACAAUUUUUUCUUCUCUUCUGCUUUCCUCCUUUUCAUCAGCUAGGCCUGCUUUUGGAUUUAAUUUAUUCCGUCAGAGGGACAGCAUUUUCUACUUUCUCCCCCACCCUCCACCCCAUGAAAAGAAACAAAAGCACAAAGAUCAUUCAACAUUUAUGCAAUUAUACGAAGUGGGGAAAUGUUUCAGGUUACAUCCAUCUAUUCCCCUUAUGUGCCCUGCAACCCUCUGUCAGUAGCCAUUACUUUUCAGCAGAACAAAGACGUGAGUCUGCUAUUUGCGCUUAAUUAUCUUAGAAACACUAAUGAGGCAUUUGCAAGGUUGUGUGUGGUGUUCGCAAGGUUACCCUUUCUGUUGCUUUUUGGAAUCUAGUUUAAUUAGCUUGAGAGGAAAUUUUGGCCCAGGUGGGCCAAAGUUAGAGUUACUCCUCCACUCUAGGUACUUCCCCCCCCCAAGCACUUUGCAAUGCUUUCUUGCUCAUUUAAUACGACUGCAUUUAUUGAUAAGGUGCACCCUAUGAAACAAAGUGUGCACCUUUGGAAAGGGCAGAGGGAUGACAUUGUAUAGCUUGGGUGUAUCUGAGUAGUGCUAGAUUUUUUCCCCCCUUCUCCAAUUUUGCUGGGGAAUUUUUAAAAUAAAUUAUUUGGUGACUCUUUCUUACCAUGAAUUCUGUUAUGACAUCACUGCUUUUCAGCAACUGUGGGCAGAUGUCUCCGAGACUUUUCUGUAAGUAGCAACUAAAAUUUUAUUUUUUAACCUAAGAGCAAGUGAAAAUGACUACAUAUAGGAAAUUGUAAGGCUUAAGUCAAUUUUUAAUAAUAUUUUUUUGUUUCAUGUCUCAAUGCAGCUGUAAAGCAAGCAAGCUUGAAAAAAAUUAAAUGAAUUAUCUUGGCUUUGCCCAAUUUGGAGGGAUUCCAUUUCCACUUAGUUUGGAUGAGAUCACCUCCAGCUUGUUAUUCAAAGGCCUUUAAGCUUCAUCCUA
Molecule: long non-coding RNA, 3388 nt
Organism: Crotalus tigris (Tiger rattlesnake)
Lineage: Eukaryota; Metazoa; Chordata; Lepidosauria; Squamata; Viperidae
Exons: 5
Source: RefSeq, a predicted model, not a curated record